GCAUCAUUAGUAUAUUGGUAGUAUAACAGACUUCCAAUCUGUGGGAACGGGUUCGAAUCCCGUAUGAUGCU
Molecule: transfer RNA, 71 nt
Filed under: Firmicutes bacterium CAG:466
Lineage: Bacteria; Bacillati; Bacillota
Description: transfer RNA-Gly(TCC)
Rfam family: tRNA
About the family: Transfer RNA (tRNA) molecules are approximately 80 nucleotides in length. Their secondary structure includes four short double-helical elements and three loops (D, anti-codon, and T loops). Further hydrogen bonds mediate the characteristic L-shaped molecular structure. tRNAs have two regions of fundamental functional importance: the anti-codon, which is responsible for specific mRNA codon recognition, and the 3' end, to which the tRNAs corresponding amino acid is attached (by aminoacyl-tRNA synthetases). tRNAs cope with the degeneracy of the genetic code in two manners: having more than one tRNA (with a specific anti-codon) for a particular amino acid; and 'wobble' base-pairing, i.e. permitting non-standard base-pairing at the 3rd anti-codon position.
Source: RNAcentral